CAAUAGCGUAUAUUAAAGUUGUUGCAGUUAAAAAGCUCGUAGUUGGAUUUCGGGGUGGCCUGGCUGGUCCGCCGCAAGGUGAGUACUGGUCAGCCGCCCUUCCUCUCGAAAGCCCCGACUGCUCUUUACUGCAGUGGUCGGGUAGUUCGGGACGUUUACUUUGAAAAAAUUAGAGUGUUCAAGGCAGGCUAUCGCCUGAAUACAUUAGCAUGGAAUAAUGGAAGAGGACCUCGGUCCUAUUUUGUUGGUUUCUAGGGCCGAAGUAAUGAUUAAGAGGGGCAGUUGGGGGCAUUCGUAUUUAAUUGUCAGAGGUGAAAUUCUUGGAUUUAUGAAAGACGAACUAGUGCGAAAGCAUUUGCCAAGGAUGUUUUCAUUAA
Molecule: ribosomal RNA, 377 nt
Filed under: uncultured eukaryote
Lineage: Eukaryota
Description: partial 18S ribosomal RNA
Rfam family: Eukaryotic small subunit ribosomal RNA
Source: RNAcentral